This 79-nucleotide transfer RNA is filed under the name Aedes aegypti (yellow fever mosquito). RNAcentral describes it as "partial tRNA-OTHER". It matches the Rfam family "tRNA". From Rfam's summary of the family: Transfer RNA (tRNA) molecules are approximately 80 nucleotides in length. The record is from RNAcentral. Lineage: Eukaryota; Metazoa; Arthropoda; Insecta; Diptera; Culicidae.
AGUCCUGUGGCGCAAUGGAUAGACGUUAUGCGUCUGACUACGGAUCAGAAGAUUCCAGGUUCGACUCCUGGCGGGAUUG